RNAcentral lists this ribosomal RNA (253 nucleotides) under uncultured bacterium. Its description in RNAcentral is "partial 16S ribosomal RNA". It matches the Rfam family "Bacterial small subunit ribosomal RNA", at positions 524 to 776 of the family's 1533-position model. The record is from RNAcentral.
UACGUAGGGGGCAAGCGUUGUCCGGAAUCAUUGGGCGUAAAGAGCGCGUAGGCGGUCCGGUAAGUCCGCUGUAAAAGUCCAGGGCUCAACCCUGGAAAGCCGGUGGAUACUGUCGGGCUAGAGUCCGGAAGAGGCGAGUGGAAUUCCUGGUGUAGCGGUGGAAUGCGCAGAUAUCAGGAGGAACACCGAUGGCGAAGGCAGCUCGCUGGGACGGUACUGACGCUGAGGCACGAAAGCGUGGGGAGCGAACAGG